AUUGAACGCUGGCGGCAUGCCUUACACAUGCAAGUCGAACGGCAGCGCGGGGGUAACCCUGGCGGCGAGUGGCGAACGGGUGAGUAAUAUAUCGGAACGUACCCAAGAGUGGGGGAUAACGUAGCGAAAGUUACGCUAAUACCGCAUACGAUCUAAGGAUGAAAGCAGGGGACCGCAAGGCCUUGUGCUCCUGGAGCGGCCGAUAUCUGAUUAGCUAGUUGGUGGGGUAAAGGCCUACCAAGGCAUCGAUCAGUAGCUGGUCUGAGAGGACGACCAGCCACACUGGGACUGAGACACGGCCCAGACUCCUACGGGAGGCAGCAGUGGGGAAUUUUGGACAAUGGGGGCAACCCUGAUCCAGCAAUGCCGCGUGAGUGAAGAAGGCCUUGGUUGUAAGCUCUUUGUCUAGGGAAGAAACGGUUAGUGGCUAAUAUCCAUGGCUAAUGACGGUACC
Molecule: ribosomal RNA, 454 nt
Filed under: uncultured bacterium
Lineage: Bacteria
Description: bacterial SSU rRNA
Rfam family: Bacterial small subunit ribosomal RNA
Source: RNAcentral